CAACAGGGAUUGCCCUAGUAACGGCGAGUGAAGCGGCAACAGCUCAAAUUUGAAAUCUGGCUCUCGGGCCCGAGUUGUAAUUUGUAGAGGAUACUUUUGAUGCGGUGCCUUCCGAGUUCCCUGGAACGGGACGCCAUAGAGGGUGAGAGCCCCGUCUGGUUGGAUGCCAAAUCUCUGUAAAGUUCCUUCGACGAGUCGAGUAGUUUGGGAAUGCUGCUCUAAAUGGGAGGUAUAUGUCUUCUAAAGCUAAAUACCGGCCAGAGACCGAUAGCGCACAAGUAGAGUGAUCGAAAGAUGAAAAGCACUUUGAAAAGAGAGUUAAAAAGUACGUGAAAUUGUUGAAAGGGAAGCGUUUAUGACCAGACUUGGGCUUGGUUAAUCAUCUGGGGUUCUCCCCAGUGCACUUUUCCAGUCCAGGCCAGCAUCAGUUUUCGCCGGGGGAUAAAGGCUUCGGGAAUGUGGCUCUCUUCGGGGAGUGUUAUAGCCCG
This 488-nucleotide ribosomal RNA is filed under the name Fusarium sp. NRRL 26427. RNAcentral's name for it is "LSU rRNA". It matches the Rfam family "Eukaryotic large subunit ribosomal RNA", at positions 66 to 565 of the family's 3401-position model. The record is from RNAcentral. Lineage: Eukaryota; Fungi; Ascomycota; Sordariomycetes; Hypocreales; Nectriaceae.